UUUGAUUGGACCACCUUAUUUGCUACACUUACCAAGAUAUUACAAUGAUGACUAGUAGGAUGGGCUAGAGAUUUAUUCCAUCAUUGCAUCUUCACCAACUAGUUCACCCCACCAUUUUUCUCACUCCUCUCCCUCUCAUUUUCAGCUGCCCACAUCUGAAUUCAUCACCAUCACUUCAACCUCCACUCCUUUGAUCCAUCUUUAAGUCUAAAACAAGUGUUAGAAAGAAGCCUUGUGGAGUUUGGAGCAUUAGAGCCUUGAAGAAGAAUCACCACUUGCAUUCUCACACCUCUUUCACCAUCAUUUCUUGUUCACAAGUUCAUCCCUAGCCCUUGUGCUAGUAGAGAUGGUCACCGUUGUAGUCGUGUUUGCUGAGGAGAUUUGGGUUACGAGUACCGAAGACGCAAUACUAUUUUUACAGACAAUUACAGACACUUUUAUAUAUGGUAUGAUUAGCUAA
Molecule: long non-coding RNA, 460 nt
Filed under: Helianthus annuus (common sunflower)
Lineage: Eukaryota; Viridiplantae; Streptophyta; Magnoliopsida; Asterales; Asteraceae
Description: hypothetical non coding rna
Source: RNAcentral